Molecule: long non-coding RNA, 538 nt
Organism: Rhinolophus ferrumequinum (greater horseshoe bat)
Lineage: Eukaryota; Metazoa; Chordata; Mammalia; Chiroptera; Rhinolophidae
Exons: 3
Source: RefSeq, a predicted model, not a curated record
GUACGAAGGAUUUGUUGUUGUUAAAUAAGCAAACUAUCAGCCUGAGGAAUAGAGAGCAAAUGACACAUUUCUACGUUGUCGUUUCAUGAAUUUGGACCACAGAACAAGUUUCAGGUGAAUAAAACAAUGUAAUAGUUAGACAUUUCCACCCCUGGUGAUAGCUAAUGUUAUGUGUGAACUUGACUAGGUUAUGGAACCCAGUUUGACCACACUCUUCUCGAUGUAGCUGUGAAGGCUGUCCCGGGCCAUCACCAUCCCAAGGCAUCCAACGUGCCCUGAAGGACAAAGUAGCGGAACUGGGAAGCAGAAGGGUUUGGCUGGAAGAGCUGGUGGAGGGAUUUCCUCCCAAACCGCAACACCUUCCUCUCCUGCCUUCCUGUCCUUUGCACGAGUGUCACCUUGGAGUAUAAGGACAGUCGUGCUUGGGGGAGGUGAACACCAAAAUCUCCUUGGUUCCAGACACCACACGUCCCCUGCAAUAGCUACAUGACCCAGUCUCAUCUCCAUCACAGAGCUGCCACCUCUGACAUCCUGGCAA